Molecule: ribosomal RNA, 1446 nt
Filed under: uncultured organism
Description: 16S ribosomal RNA
Rfam family: Bacterial small subunit ribosomal RNA
Source: RNAcentral
AACGCUGGCGGCGUGCUUAACACAUGCAAGUCGAACGGAAAGGCCCUGCUUUUGUGGGGUGCUCGAGUGGCGAACGGGUGAGUAACACGUGAGUAACCUGCCCUUGACUUUGGGAUAACUUCAGGAAACUGGGGCUAAUACCGGAUAGGAGCUCCUGCUGCAUGGUGGGGGUUGGAAAGUUUCGGCGGUUGGGGAUGGACUCGCGGCUUAUCAGCUUGUUGGUGGGGUAGUGGCUUACCAAGGCUUUGACGGGUAGCCGGCCUGAGAGGGUGACCGGCCACAUUGGGACUGAGAUACGGCCCAGACUCCUACGGGAGGCAGCAGUGGGGAAUAUUGCACAAUGGGCGGAAGCCUGAUGCAGCAACGCCGCGUGCGGGAUGACGGCCUUCGGGUUGUAAACCGCUUUCGCCUGUGACGAAGCGUGAGUGACGGUAAUGGGUAAAGAAGCACCGGCUAACUACGUGCCAGCAGCCGCGGUGAUACGUAGGGUGCGAGCGUUGUCCGGAUUUAUUGGGCGUAAAGGGCUCGUAGGUGGUUGAUCGCGUCGGAAGUGUAAUCUUGGGGCUUAACCCUGAGCGUGCUUUCGAUACGGGUUGACUUGAGGAAGGUAGGGGAGAAUGGAAUUCCUGGUGGAGCGGUGGAAUGCGCAGAUAUCAGGAGGAACACCAGUGGCGAAGGCGGUUCUCUGGGCCUUUCCUGACGCUGAGGAGCGAAAGCGUGGGGAGCGAACAGGCUUAGAUACCCUGGUAGUCCACGCUGUAAACGGUGGGUACUAGGUGUGGGGUCCAUUCCACGGGUUCCGUGCCGUAGCUAACGCUUUAAGUACCCCGCCUGGGGAGUACGGCCGCAAGGCUAAAACUCAAAGGAAUUGACGGGGCCCCGCACAAGCGGCGGAGCAUGCGGAUUAAUUCGAUGCAACGCGUAGAACCUUACCUGGGUUUGACAUGGAUCGGGAGUGCUCAGAGAUGGGUGUGCCUCUUUUGGGGUCGGUUCACAGGUGGUGCAUGGCUGUCGUCAGCUCGUGUCGUGAGAUGUUGGGUUAAGUCCCGCAACGAGCGCAACCCUUGUUCACUGUUGCCAGCACGUUAUGGUGGGGACUCAGUGGAGACCGCCGGGGUCAACUCGGAGGAAGGUGGGGAUGACGUCAAGUCAUCAUGCCCCUUAUGUCCAGGGCUUCACGCAUGCUACAAUGGCUGGUACAGAGAGUGGCGAGCCUGUGAGGGCGAGCGAAUCUCGGAAAGCCGGUCUCAGUUCGGAUUGGGGUCUGCAACUCGACCUCAUGAAGUCGGAGUCGCUAGUAAUCGCAGAUCAGCAACGCUGCGGUGAAUACGUUCCCGGGGCUUGUACACACCGCCCGUCAAGUCAUGAAAGUUGGUAACACCCGAAGCCGGUGGCCUAACCGUUGUGGGGGAGCCGUCGAAGGUGGGACUGGUGAUUAGGACUAAG